This 434-nucleotide ribosomal RNA is filed under the name uncultured bacterium. RNAcentral's name for it is "bacterial SSU rRNA". It matches the Rfam family "Bacterial small subunit ribosomal RNA", at positions 608 to 1029 of the family's 1533-position model. The record is from RNAcentral.
CUAAACUGAGGAAAGUCGGCCGAAACUGAUCGACUCGAGGAACGUAGAGGGAAGCGGAACUCUCGGAGUAGCGGUGAAAUGCGUAGAGACCGAGAGGUACCCCGAUGGUGAAGACAGCUUCUUGGGCGUUUCCUGACGCUGAAGCACUAAGGCCAGGGGAGCGAAGGGGAUUAGAUACCCCCGUAGUCCUGGCUUCAAACGAUGUGGGCUUGGUGUCGGCCCCCGACAGAGGGUCGUUGCCGGAGCUAACGUGUUAAGCCCACCGCCUGGGGAUUACGUCCGCAAGGAUGAAACUCAAGGGAAUUGACGGGGGCCCACACAACCGGUGGAGCACGUGGUUUAAUUCGAUGAUAAGCGAAGAACCUUACCAGGGCUUGACCUAGCGGUGGUAGGAUCCUGAAAGGGAAACGACCUCAAGCCUAGCUUGAGGGGCC